Molecule: ribosomal RNA, 254 nt
Filed under: uncultured bacterium
Lineage: Bacteria
Description: partial 16S ribosomal RNA
Rfam family: Bacterial small subunit ribosomal RNA
Source: RNAcentral
UACGUAGGUGGCAAGCGUUGUCCGGAAUUAUUGGGCGUAAAGAGCUCGUAGGCGGUGUGUCGCGUCGGUCGUGAAAACUUGGGGCUUAACCCUGAGCUUGCGGUCGAUACGGGCAUCACUUGAGUUCGGCAGGGGAGACUGGAACUCCUGGUGUAGCGGUGAAAUGCGCAGAUAUCAGGAAGAACACCGGUGGCGAAGGCGGGUCUCUGGGCCGAUACUGACGCUGAGGAGCGAAAGCGUGGGGAGCGAACAGG